GGGGAAUUUUCCGCAAUGGGCGAAAGCCUGACGGAGCAAUACCGCGUGAGGGAGGAAGGCUCUUGGGUUGUAAACCUCUUUUCUCAGGGAAUAAGUACUGAAGGUACCUGAGGAAUCAGCAUCGGCUAACUCCGUGCCAGCAGCCGCGGUAAUACGGAGGAUGCAAGCGUUAUCCGGAAUGAUUGGGCGUAAAGCGUCCGCAGGUGGUUAUUCAAGUCUGCUGUCAAAGAAUCUGGCUCAACCAGAUAAAGGCAGUGGAAACUGAAAGACUAGAGUAUGGUAGGGGUAGAGGGAACUCCUGGUGUAGCGGUGAAAUGCGUAGAGAUCAGGAAGAACACCGGUGGCGAAAGCGCUCUGCUGGACCAUAACUGACACUGAGGGACGAAAGCUAGGGGAGCGAAUGGGAUUAGAUACCCCAGUAGUC
This 424-nucleotide ribosomal RNA is filed under the name uncultured cyanobacterium. RNAcentral describes it as "bacterial SSU rRNA". It matches the Rfam family "Bacterial small subunit ribosomal RNA", at positions 356 to 795 of the family's 1533-position model. Lineage: Bacteria; Bacillati; Cyanobacteriota. The record is from RNAcentral.